UACGGAGGGUGCAAGCAUUAAUCGGAUUUAUUGGGCGUAAAGGGCGCGUAGGCGGGUAUGUAAGUCAGAUGUGAAAGCCCGGGGCUCAACCCCGGAACAGCAUUUGAAACUGCAAAUCUAGAGGGUAGGCGGAGAAAAUAGAAUUCCACAAGUAGCGGUGAAAUGCGUAGAUAUGUGGAAGAAUACCGGUGGCGAAGGCGGUUUUCUAGCUUAUACCUGACGCUGAGGCGCGAAAGCAAGGGGAUCAAACAG
This 252-nucleotide ribosomal RNA is filed under the name uncultured bacterium. Its description in RNAcentral is "partial 16S ribosomal RNA". It matches the Rfam family "Bacterial small subunit ribosomal RNA", at positions 524 to 775 of the family's 1533-position model. The record is from RNAcentral.